UCUAAACCUGCAACUUCACAUCAACUUUUACCAUUUUCAAGAGCUUCCAAGCCAGGAAUGUUAGAGCUGGAAGGAACAUGAUAAAAAGAAGGAAAGUGAAAGUGAACAGUUUACACAGCCAGCAGCACAGUAACCGGCAAGGGGCAAACAAACCCAUAGAUGCUUCCUGAAUGAAACAAAUGAGAUACAGGGAAAAGAUUAAAACCAAGAACCUCUGACUUCCAGACCACUUGACUCUGCUGCCUGACCCUCUUCUUAAAUCCAUGCUGCCUGAGUAAACGUCCAGGCUCCACAUAUUUAGACCACAUCGGGAAACUAGACUUCAUACUGAGACUUACGUUCCCACAUAUAUGGAUUGUGGGCAAUCAGAAGCUCAAAGUGGAAGCUCUGAAGAUGGGAUCCUUUCUGGUGUGUUGAAAAAUCCCUGGGCUUGUGGGUCAGCAGGAUGGGUGUGGUGUCUCUCAGCUAUGGGAAUCAAGCUGCUGUGAUACGAGCUGCUGUAAAAACGGAGGCCUCCAGACCAACAGCCAGGGAGUAGAGGAGAGACUCACAUUAGUGGCCACUGGACCAGUGGGAGGAAGAGCUUAUGGGAAGAGACUUCUUUGGCUCAUCUCAUGUUACAUCUUGGAGUGACCUCAAAGGCCCCAUCCCAGAAGGCACAGCCACAAAAAACGUGGCCUCCACCAGCAUGGAUCCCUGAAUGUAAUGGGAUCAGAGCCUCCUGCCCACACCUGGAGGUCAGAAUAAUACUGGAAGUCCUCCAUCUAUUUCUCAUCAUCUCACUCUUGAGUGUGCACUGCCAACAAUGUCCCUGAAUGAAGAGCCACUGAUUACAUCUAAGUUUUGGCUGUUGAAAGGAAGUUCUACGUAUAAGGAAGUGCAUUGGACUGACAGUCAGGUCAGCAUCUGGAUUGUGCUGUGAGCUCUCGUAUGUAUCACCUCAUGUGAUCUUCGUGAUCACUUUGCAAAAUGUGGAUUUUGCAAAAUGAGGCCACAAAUAGUCGCCUUUCUCCAAUUUUCUCAUUUCUUUGACUUUACUUUGUGACUUUUUGGAUUGUUGUUUACGGUAUGCUACCUAAAGUUUUUCUCACUUCAGAGAAGAGGAAGCUAGCUAAUGCUGUCAGUGUCACAGGACACGUCAUGCUUACAAUGAUAAGGUUAAUAUGUGGCACACCUCUGACUUGAACAAGGCCUGUUUGUUUACAAAGUCAAUGGUUACACUCUUACCCUAGAGUUCUAGUCUCCAUUCUGCUGCCAAUUACCCGAUGACCUAUGUGACUUUAGACAUGUGAAAUAAC
Molecule: long non-coding RNA, 1298 nt
Filed under: Homo sapiens (human)
Lineage: Eukaryota; Metazoa; Chordata; Mammalia; Primates; Hominidae
Description: HSALNT0242602
Source: RNAcentral